AGUGAACGCUGGCGGUAGGCCUAACACAUGCAAGUCGAACGGCAGCACAGUAAGAGCUUGCUCUUACGGGUGGCGAGUGGCGGACGGGUGAGGAAUACAUCGGAAUCUACUUUUUCGUGGGGGAGAACGUAGGGAAACUUACGCUAAUACCGCAUACGACCUACGGGUGAAAGCAGGGGAUCUUCGGACCUUGCGCGAUUGAAUGAGCCGAUGUCGGAUUAGCUAGUUGGCGGGGUAAAGGCCCACCAAGGCGACGAUCCGUAGCUGGGCUGAGAGGAUGAUCAGCCACACUGGAACUGAGACACGGACCAGACUCCUACGGGAGGCAGCAGUGGGGAAUAUUGGACAAUGGGCGCAAGCCUGAUCCAGCCAUACCGCGUGGGUGAAGAAGGCCUUCGGGUUGUAAAGCCCUUUUGUUGGGAAAGAAAAGCAGCAGGUUAAUACCCCGCUGUUCUGACGGUACCCAAAGAAUAAGCACCGGCUAACUUCGUG
This 492-nucleotide ribosomal RNA is filed under the name uncultured bacterium. Its description in RNAcentral is "partial 16S ribosomal RNA". It matches the Rfam family "Bacterial small subunit ribosomal RNA", at positions 29 to 507 of the family's 1533-position model. The record is from RNAcentral.